AACGAACGCUGGCGGCAUGCCUAACACAUGCAAGUCGAACGAGACCUUCGGGUCUAGUGGCGCACGGGUGCGUAACGCGUGGGAAUCUGCCCUUGGGUUCGGAAUAACAGUUGGAAACGACUGCUAAUACCGGAUGAUGACGUAAGUCCAAAGAUUUAUCGCCCAAGGAUGAGCCCGCGUAGGAUUAGCUAGUUGGUGAGGUAAAGGCUCACCAAGGCGACGAUCCUUAGCUGGUCUGAGAGGAUGAUCAGCCACACUGGGACUGAGACACGGCCCAGACUCCUACGGGAGGCAGCAGUGGGGAAUAUUGGACAAUGGGCGAAAGCCUGAUCCAGCAAUGCCGCGUGAGUGAUGAAGGCCUUAGGGUUGUAAAGCUCUUUUACCCGGGAUGAUAAUGACAGUACCGGGAGAAUAAGCUCCGGCUAGCUCCGUG
This 433-nucleotide ribosomal RNA is filed under the name uncultured bacterium. RNAcentral's name for it is "partial 16S ribosomal RNA". It matches the Rfam family "Bacterial small subunit ribosomal RNA", at positions 29 to 507 of the family's 1533-position model. The record is from RNAcentral.